UACGAAGGUGGCAAGCGUUGUUCGGAUUUACUGGGCGUAAAGGGUGCGUAGGCGGUUCUGAAAGUCUGAUGUGAAAUCUCCGGGCCCAACCCGGAAAUGGCAUUAGAAGCUGCAGGGCUAGAGGCUUGGAGGGGGAACUGGAAUGCUCGGUGUAGCAGUGAAAUGCGUAGAGAUCGAGCGGAACACCAGUGGCGAAGGCGAGUUCCUGGACAAGACCUGACGCUGAGGCACGAAAGCCAGGGGAGCAAACAGG
This 253-nucleotide ribosomal RNA is filed under the name uncultured bacterium. RNAcentral describes it as "partial 16S ribosomal RNA". It matches the Rfam family "Bacterial small subunit ribosomal RNA", at positions 524 to 776 of the family's 1533-position model. The record is from RNAcentral.